This is a long non-coding RNA of Anthonomus grandis grandis, 486 nucleotides long. RefSeq lists it as uncharacterized. The transcript has 2 exons. The record is from RefSeq and is a predicted model, not a curated record. NCBI's taxonomy places the organism in Eukaryota, Metazoa, Arthropoda, Insecta, Coleoptera, Curculionidae.
UACAAAUAAUAGAUAUUUAUUACCCAUUUUAUCUCAUUUUUAGUAUAAUAAAUGCAAUGUCAAUAGAAGUUAUCUCGGCUUUCCUUAAUAAAUUUUUUUUGUAAUAUAAAUACUCCACCGUUAUAAAUAAUUUUUAUUUCAAGUUUACUUACCUAUACUAAACGGAGCUUUCAAAAUGCAGAAACUAAUUAUUGCAGCUUUACUCAUGGUGCAAAUUGCAACCGUGUUUUCCCAAAACUGCAAUACAGUUACUUGUAGCAGUCCUUUAGUAUGCAGAGAUAACUUAAACCCUUGUACAAAUCGUUGCUCCUACCGUAAUGGAACAGAAUUGUGUACCCAAGAAAUUAUAAUUGACUGUUACUGCCCUGUUGGAUAUUGCGAUAAUGGUAAUGGAUGUGUGGAAUACUAAAGUGACUUUUUGAUUCAACCUUUUGGUUAUAUGUUUUCUUUGCAAAAUAAACAAUAAAAAUGAUGAUUGAUGCAAAA